AUACCCUAUUAUUUUUAUUGUAAAUUUGUAAACUAGAGUAUUAUUAGUUAAGGUCUUGAAACUUAAAGAAUUUGGCGGUAUUAUAGUCUAUUUAGAGGAAUCUGUUAUGUAAUUGAUAAUCCACGUUGAACCUUACUUACUUUUUUUCUUGUAUACCGUUGUUUAAGAAUAUACUUAAAGGUGAUUUUCCGAAUAUGUAAUUAGUUAAUAUUUCAAAUCAAGGUGCAGUAAUAUGUAAGUUGAAUAAUGGAUUACAAUAAAAUUUAUUUAUUAUGGAUUGUUAUUGAAAUAUAAUUUGAAGGUGGAUUUAA
This 311-nucleotide ribosomal RNA is filed under the name Hestiasula sp. MN478. RNAcentral describes it as "partial 12S ribosomal RNA". The record is from RNAcentral. Lineage: Eukaryota; Metazoa; Arthropoda; Insecta; Mantodea; Hymenopodidae.